This 71-nucleotide transfer RNA is filed under the name Pharyngomonas kirbyi. RNAcentral describes it as "tRNA-Gly". It matches the Rfam family "tRNA". From Rfam's summary of the family: Transfer RNA (tRNA) molecules are approximately 80 nucleotides in length. Their secondary structure includes four short double-helical elements and three loops (D, anti-codon, and T loops). Lineage: Eukaryota; Heterolobosea; Pharyngomonadea; Pharyngomonadida; Pharyngomonadidae. The record is from RNAcentral.
GCGGAUAUAGAUUAAAGGUAAAUCCUCUGUCUUCCAAACAGAAGUUAUGGGUUCGAAUCCCAUUGUCCGCA